Molecule: ribosomal RNA, 751 nt
Filed under: uncultured bacterium
Lineage: Bacteria
Description: bacterial SSU rRNA
Rfam family: Bacterial small subunit ribosomal RNA
Source: RNAcentral
AGAAUGAACGCUGGCGGCGUGCUUAACACAUGCAAGUCGAACGAGAACUCUUCUGCUUGCAGAAGAUAGUAAAGUGGCGCACGGGUGAGUAACGCGUGGGUAAUCUACCUCUGAAUUGGGGAUAACAUUGCGAAAGUGAUGCUAAUACCGAAUAAUAUCCUAAGAAUUCAGGUUUUUUGGAUCAAAGGUGGCUUCUACAUGUAAGCUACUGUUUGGAGAUGAGCCCGCGUACCAUUAGCUUGUUGGUAGGGUAAUGGCCUACCAAGGCAACGAUGGUUAGCUGGUCUGAGAGGAUGAUCAGCCACACUGGAACUGACACACGGUCCAGACUCCUACGGGAGGCAGCAGUGAGGAAUUUUGCGCAAUGGGGGAAACCCUGACGCAGCAACGCCGCGUGAGUGAUGAAGGCUUUCGAGUCGUAAAGCUCUGUCAAGUGAGAAGAAUCUGCUUUUUGUUAAUACCACUAAGCACUGACGGUAUCACUGAAGGAAGCACCGGCUAACUCCGUGCCAGCAGCCGCGGUAAUACGGAGGGUGCAAGCGUUAUUCGGAAUCAUUGGGCGUAAAGGGCGCGCAGGCGGUCUUUUAAGUCAGAUGUGAAAGCCCGGGGCUCAACCCCGGAAGUGCAUUUGAAACUGAAAGACUUGAGUAUGGGAGAGGGAAGUGGAAUUCCUGGUGUAGAGGUGAAAUUCGUAGAUAUCAGGAGGAACACCGGUGGCGAAGGCGACUUCCUGGACCAAUACUGACGCUGA